This 361-nucleotide transfer RNA is filed under the name Anaeroplasma abactoclasticum. RNAcentral describes it as "partial miscellaneous RNA". The stretch from base 130 to 203 matches the Rfam family "tRNA". Lineage: Bacteria; Bacillati; Mycoplasmatota; Mollicutes; Anaeroplasmatales; Anaeroplasmataceae. The record is from RNAcentral.
CCUCCUUUCUAAGGAGAACCGAGUGAAACAUUCACUCAUAUUUAAAAACCAAAAGUCAAAUUAUAAAGUUGUAUAUAGUUUUGAGAGACUAAAAGUUUCUCAAAAGAGAAUAUCUCUAAUGGUGGAUCUGGGCCUGUAGCUCAGCUGGUUAGAGCGCACGCCUGAUAAGCGUGAGGUCGAUGGUUCAAGUCCAUUCAGGCCCACCAUUAAAAUUUAUUUGGGGCUAUAGCUCAGCUGGGAGAGCGCCUGUUUUGCACGCAGGAGGUCAGCGGUUCGAUCCCGCUUAGCUCCACCAAUAAUAAAAAAGAGAUCUUUGAAAAGUAGAUAAAAGCGAAGUCGAGGAAAAAAAUAAAAUUUUAUU